RNAcentral lists this ribosomal RNA (199 nucleotides) under uncultured bacterium. RNAcentral's name for it is "partial 16S ribosomal RNA". It matches the Rfam family "Bacterial small subunit ribosomal RNA", at positions 328 to 539 of the family's 1533-position model. The record is from RNAcentral.
ACGCUCGACACCUACUGGAGGCAGCAGUUGGGAAUAUUGGACAAUGGAGGAAACUCUGAUCCAGUGACGCCGCGUGAAGGAAGAAGGUCUUCGGAUUGUAAACUUAUUUUGUCAGGGAAGAAAAAUGACUGUACCUGAAGAAAAAGCACCGGCUAACUACGUACCAGCAGCCGCGGUAAUCUGAGCGGGCUGGCAAGGC